AGUGCUCGCAAGAGAACCGGAACACAGGUGCUGCAUGGCUGUCGUCAGCUCGUGUCGUGAGAUGUUGGGUUAAGUCCCGCAACGAGCGCAACCCUUGUCAUUAGUUGCUACGAAAGGGCACUCUAAUGAGACUGCCGGUGACAAACCGGAGGAAGGUGGGGAUGACGUCAAGUCCUCAUGGCCCUUAUGGGUAGGGCUUCACACGUCAUACAAUGGUCGGGACAGAGGGUUGCCAACCCGCGAGGGGGAGCUAAUCUCAUAAACCCGAUCGUAGUCCGGAUUGCAGUCUGCAACUCGACUGCAUGAAGUCGGAAUCGCUAGUAAUCGCGGAUCAGCAUGUCGCGGUGAAUACGUUCCCGGGUCUU
RNAcentral lists this ribosomal RNA (365 nucleotides) under uncultured Pusillimonas sp. RNAcentral's name for it is "bacterial SSU rRNA". It matches the Rfam family "Bacterial small subunit ribosomal RNA", at positions 1013 to 1382 of the family's 1533-position model. Lineage: Bacteria; Pseudomonadati; Pseudomonadota; Betaproteobacteria; Burkholderiales; Alcaligenaceae. The record is from RNAcentral.